CUGUCCCUGUGAAAGAAAGCAUCCACAUGAGAUGUGGGAUCAGGAUGCACUGCAAUGGGCAGGCGCUGGAGACAAGGAGCAAGCAAGACAGGCCCUGCCUGGCCACAGUCCUUCUGCUCAUCACAGAACCCUCAUGAAACAACUCAAACAAGGAACGAAGUAGCAAGGAACGAAGACAGGAGACACCUCUCAAAAGGUCUGGUGUCACUAGAAGCACCUGCUGAGACAAGAACUGUCAGCACAAUGUGUGACGCCCAGCAGGAAGGUGAGGAGAGAUUGACAGGUAGGAGUGAUUGACGCACAGCAGGAAAGGAGGGCAUGGAACAUGGAAGUCUGGGAUGCCACAUGUCCUGCUCUCCCAUUGUUGAUGACCCCUUCCUGGCUCUUCUGGGUUGAUGGUGCAAAAAGUAGCUAAAUGUUCUUAGCUAAUACUUUUCUUCUUACUACCCCACAUGCAUGUGUGUGUGUGUGUGUGUGUGUGUGUGUGUGUAAGAGUAUCCACGCAUGUGGGUGUAUAAGGUAUCCAUGCAUGUGAAGGCCAGACACAACCCUUAGGUGCCAUUUGUUUUUCAAGAGCCAUCGUCCACAGUUCUUUGAGACAAGAUCUCUCACUGGGACCUAAAACUUGCCAAGUAAGCUGGGCUAACUAACCAGAAGGUCCCAGAGGUCAAUCCUCCUGCCUACACAUACCCCAUGCUGGGAUUACAAGCAUGCACCAGUGUGCUUAGCUUUUUAGUGGCCUCUAGGGAGCAAACUCAAUUAGUUCCUCUUGUUCCAGGGGCAAGGACUUUAUCAACGGAGUGGUCUCCUCGGGCUCUAAUGCUUUAAGCGUUUUAAAUGAGAUGAAUGAUACUUGCACAGAUGUUUACACUCUUUGUGAAAACAGUAGAGCCAUUUGAUAGAAUCCGCUUAUUAGGAAUUCAGAAGGUCUGAUUGAUAAAUAUCUUCAGCCACCCAGAGUUGGGCACGUGUCUCUGACCUCAGUUGCAUAUAUAAGGACAACAGACACAGCCAAACUAUUCCACCCAGCUACUGUGGGGCGAGCAAAUAAACUUAUGGAGGAGGAGGGACCAGCUGUCUAUGCAGAAAAUCUCGAAACAAACAAACUCUGAUUACAGCCUGGGCUUGCUUUCAUGUAAGAGGAGCCGUGGAUCACAAAGGGGACACCCUCUGCUGGAAGAGCGCAAAAGCAGGUCGGUAUGAGGGGUCCUCCCUCCCAGGCCUAGGCUGCAUCUCCAGUUGCUUUUCUCAGGGACUGAAGUCUGCCAACCGAAAAAAGGAACAACUGGAGAAAGUCUUAUAAUAGGAAGGUUUGCGAAUGAAUACACAACAGCCUCUUCAUGACAAAAGCUGAGCUGUGAUUGUCUUCUGAGAUGGUUUUUCCAGUUUUCCCUUUUGCAGCUUGAAGAAGGAAGGGUGGACGGUGUCUUUCACCCUAAGUAAGAACACGUGGACAGCUUUCAUUUUGAUCCUCUGUGCUCUUGUGAUUUCCCUUUUCCUUUUUUAAAUAAAAUUUUAAAUUAUUUUAACUUUA
Molecule: long non-coding RNA, 1534 nt
Organism: Mus musculus (house mouse)
Lineage: Eukaryota; Metazoa; Chordata; Mammalia; Rodentia; Muridae
Product: predicted gene 13883
Exons: 2
Source: RefSeq, a predicted model, not a curated record